RNAcentral lists this long non-coding RNA (270 nucleotides) under Lathyrus oleraceus (garden pea). RNAcentral describes it as "Pisum sativum (pea) long non-coding RNA (PSAT_LNC003607)". Lineage: Eukaryota; Viridiplantae; Streptophyta; Magnoliopsida; Fabales; Fabaceae. The record is from RNAcentral.
UACCUCUUGGUACAACAAGUAGAAUUUGUCUGAAGUCUCCGUCAAAAGUGACAACUUUACCUCCAAAAUUUUGGUUACAUUCACAAUUGUCAUCACUCAUUAUAUUCUUUAAUGACUUGUCAAGAGCUUCAAAACAAAAUUUAUUUGCAAUAGAUACUUCAUCCCAUAUAAUGAGUUUUGUUACUUUCGAAAAGAUUAGCUAAAUCAUAUUGUUUCUCAAUGUUACAUAUAGAAGAUUCUAGACAUGGGCUGAAAUUUUGAAUUUGAAAU